GACGAACGCUGGCGGCGUGCCUAAUACAUGCAAGUAGAACGCUGAAGGAGGAGCUUGCUUCUCCGGAUGAGUUGCGAACGGGUGAGUAACGCGUAGGUAACCUGCCUGGUAGCGGGGGAUAACUAUUGGAAACGAUAGCUAAUACCGCAUAACAGUAGAUGUUGCAUGACAUUUGCUUAAAAGGUGCAAUUGCAUCACUACCAGAUGGACCUGCGUUGUAUUAGCUAGUUGGUGAGGUAACGGCUCACCAAGGCGACGAUACAUAGCCGACCUGAGAGGGUGAUCGGCCACACUGGGACUGGGACACGGCCCAGACUCCUACGGGAGGCAGCAGUAGGGAAUCUUCGGCAAUGGACGGAAGUCUGACCGAGCAACGCCGCGUGAGUGAAGAAGGUUUUCGGAUCGUAAAGCUCUGUUGUAAGAGAAGAACGAGUGUGAGAGUGGAAAGUUCACACUGUGACGGUAUCUUACCAGAAAGGGACGGCUAACUACGUG
Molecule: ribosomal RNA, 495 nt
Filed under: uncultured bacterium
Lineage: Bacteria
Description: partial 16S ribosomal RNA
Rfam family: Bacterial small subunit ribosomal RNA
Source: RNAcentral